CAUUAUCCAUCUUCUCUUUUAACUUCAUGGCCAAGGUUACUUCACUUGCAAACAAGCCAUGCUUGUUUUUUCAAGCCAUCACCUUGACCUCCAUGGUAGCUUCACUACCAAGUGUCUUGAGUCAUAAUCAAAACUCCAAGUCAUCCUUUCAUAUCAUUCAAUCACCUUCAUUCAAUUCAUCAAAACAUUAAUAAACCAAGCAUGUUUCAUGAGGUGUUCAAGCAAGUUUCAAAGUGGAAUUUUGUGCAUCAAUGCAAACAAUCCACUCAAAGACAAUGCAACCAUGUGUAGUAUAAUAAGGACCAUUCUAUUCACUCACAAACAAUUGUGCACACAUUUUAAAAUCCACAUUUUUAUAUUCAAUCAUAGCUAACAAUACAUACUAACUACACCAACAAAUCCUUAUAGCAGGAAGUUACUUUAACAAGAAUUGACACAUUAACAGAUCUGCAUCAGUAACCACAGUAACAUCAAAAUUCACAUAACAUAAGUUAAUUUCUAUCAUGUUUUAAAUACAAUUCACAACAUUACCCCUAACAUCUGCAUAACAUUCACUAACAGAGAACUUGUUAACUAAAACUAACAAUUCAUAACAGUAGCAAUAGUAAACAAUUUACAACAUUCAUUUAAGGGAAAAUUCGACUAACAUCAACAACAAUACAUUGACAAUAACAGAAAUACAGCUAAUCAACUUAACAAACCUAGAACUAACCUAAUUCAUUUUAACAGAGGGAUUAACAACUAAUAACAGCUAAUUGACAUCCUAACAGAAAUCAUCAUAACCGCUUUUCACGAUUUUCCACAUCUAACAUUGUUAAUCACACUCAACAAACUUGAACUGGAAAAAGCUAACAGAACAUCACAGAGUUAGUAUAGGACAUUGAGACAAAGGGAAUGGUGUAGAACUUGUUGUGUUUGACCUUCC
Molecule: long non-coding RNA, 925 nt
Filed under: Lathyrus oleraceus (garden pea)
Lineage: Eukaryota; Viridiplantae; Streptophyta; Magnoliopsida; Fabales; Fabaceae
Description: Pisum sativum (pea) long non-coding RNA (PSAT_LNC004394)
Source: RNAcentral